Molecule: long non-coding RNA, 752 nt
Filed under: Homo sapiens (human)
Lineage: Eukaryota; Metazoa; Chordata; Mammalia; Primates; Hominidae
Description: non-protein coding lnc-STX2-6:1
Source: RNAcentral
GGCGUCCCCCCUUCAGCGUUCAGAAUCACCCCCCACCGUGUGUGGAAAUGCACCUUCUCUUCUCCUGGGAGAUGUUCCUCCCAUCCAACCGUCUGGUUCCAGGAAGAUACUGUGCUCAUACAUGACUCCGCCCCCAUAGCCACCACUGAUUGGUCUAUGGGUGGUCACCUCACCCCAUAUUGGCCUUCCUGGGAUUUUUCAAACUGGAACUGACAUGAAGCCAAGAGGAGGAAGAGACUGCAUGUUUUCUGGCAUAUGGGGAAAGCUGAUCUACCAUGACAAAGAGUUAAGACAAUCUCAUUAGAAGACAGAGGAGGUGGGGCUGGACCAUCCAGGGCUGGCUGCUCUGAUGCUCACCUGCACAUCUGACCUGCUCUUUGGCUGCACAACCUGAGUCCAAGAGCAGACCCACAGGGCUCCCUGCAGAGAGUUCAAUGCAGAGGCUAUUUACAGAGGUCUAGGUAGGGGUGGGGAACCUGUACCCCAUGAACUGGAACAGCAGGGAAGCUGUUAUCCACUGUAAGCCCCAGGGCACAGGUGUGGGGCUUUGUUGCUGGAAUGCAGGGAGGGUUGUAAUUCUGGGAGAGGAGUUAUCUGGCAGGAUCGGAGAUCUUAUUUGAAGGAAAACCUCCACUGCCAAAUGUCAGUCAAGCAGGCUCCAACUUCUGUCUCCUCCCACCCUCAGGCUUCUCCUGUUGACUCUCAUCAGCCAAAUCCAACAGAAUCCAGAGGGCAGGGAGCCCCACUGUUGC